RNAcentral lists this ribosomal RNA (380 nucleotides) under Chloropicon mariensis. RNAcentral's name for it is "partial Bacterial large subunit ribosomal RNA". It matches the Rfam family "Bacterial large subunit ribosomal RNA", at positions 79 to 469 of the family's 2925-position model. The record is from RNAcentral. Lineage: Eukaryota; Viridiplantae; Chlorophyta; Chloropicophyceae; Chloropicales; Chloropicaceae.
CGGGGAUCAGCACAUAUGACUUGAUCCGCAGAUUUCCGAAUGGGGCAACCCGGCUAUAUGAAGUAUAGUCACACCGCAAGGUGAGCAAACCCGGAGAACUGAAACAUCUAAGUACCCGGAGGAAGAGAAAGAAAAAUCGAUUCCCUGAGUAGCGGCGAGCGAAACGGGAACAGCCCAAACCAGGAGGCGUGCCUCUUGGGGUUGUAGGACACUCAGCACGGAGUUACAAAAUCAACGGCUAGGCGAAGCGACCUGGAACGGUCCGCCGCAGCGGGUAACAGCCCCGUAGCCGAAAAUCCGUUCUCUCCCGAGUGGAUCCUGAGUACGGCGGAACACGAGGAAUUCCGUCGGAAUCUGGGAGGACCAUCUCCCAAGGCUAA